Molecule: transfer RNA, 57 nt
Filed under: Peltocephalus dumerilianus (big-headed amazon river turtle)
Lineage: Eukaryota; Metazoa; Chordata; Testudines; Podocnemididae
Description: partial transfer RNA-Ser
Source: RNAcentral
GUUAACCGUGGGGGACAUAACAGAAACUGCUAAUUUCUCUACCCGAGACUAACCACC